Gasterosteus aculeatus aculeatus (three-spined stickleback) is the source of this 923-nucleotide long non-coding RNA. NCBI's taxonomy places the organism in Eukaryota, Metazoa, Chordata, Actinopteri, Perciformes, Gasterosteidae. The record is from Ensembl.
GCCGAUAUCAACGAGCGGUUCGCUCCACUGGAGCGUUCGGGACUCUGCGGGUUUCUGUCCAUGGAGGAGAGGAACUGACUCAAAGAAGAGGAGACGGGCGCACAAUCCCACGAUAGCGUGUCCUUUACAGGAAGCGGUGCGCCGUCUUCACAACUCCGAGACGAACUACAGGCGCCACGAACCGGAGCAAGGGUCAGAUUUACAGAAUAUGCUUUCAUUCUGCGCUAUAAGGAAAUAUAUACGUAUAGAUACCGAUCAUAACUGUACAUUUUGUUUUCACAAACUAAUCUCGCCUCAUAAUGAGGCGGUGACCUCGUAUUUGCUCCGGGAAAAGUCCAGAUUUAGACGACGUCAUUGUGUCCGCCUGUAAGACGUAUUUAGAGACGGGACGCAGGAGCUUCAGGUUCAGCCGGAACACUCAUUGCGGGCGGAAGCUGCGAAGGAUUCAGCGCGGAGUCGAGCGAGAAGAAAGAGGCUGCUGGAAUCAAGACAAAGUGUGCUGGCUGAUGACGAGGUGGAACUCCGCCACCGUGGAGCUCACGUCGGGCGGAGGGGACGGCGUUGUUGGCGGGGUCUCGGGUGGAUUGUACGGUCGCCACACACACACGAGCCGCCUGCACAACAGACCUGCCUCGGAAAACACGGCGCCAGUGACGGUCUACAACCCCGAGGAGGCAAACGGACAGUUUACUGAGCUGUAGUUUUUUAAACCGCCGUUACCCAAGUGUGGGCAGAUCCUCACUUUGUAUGUAGUUGUUGUUUGUGUGUUGUUAAUAAAGCUCUUUCUUUGCAUAAACAUGUGGCAAAUGUUCAUUUUCUCUAAAUUCAUUGAUGUCCUGGUUGGUAUCCUAAUAAUAGUGUAGUAGCCUACAUAGGAUAACCAUGAAAUGAAUAUACAGCAUAAUAUGAAUAUAUAAAUAUAU